Molecule: long non-coding RNA, 538 nt
Organism: Lutra lutra (Eurasian river otter)
Lineage: Eukaryota; Metazoa; Chordata; Mammalia; Carnivora; Mustelidae
Exons: 3
Source: RefSeq, a predicted model, not a curated record
CACAGGAGCGAAACGAUUCACUGGGGUUGUAGAGAGGAGCCGUACUGAAGCAAAGGCCGAGAGGCUAAGAACUGGAACUACUCAGUUGUUGCUAAUGCUCAGGUGAUUUCACUUUCCACCGUUUUAACUUGGCCUCAUCUUAAGCAAUGACAGCGUGAAAAUAUAUAUUUGAAGUGCUUCUCAAGGCUGACCAAACCGGUAGUUAAAAUACUAAUACAUGCUUCGGUGACUAUUGGCACACGAAGCCUGCCCCAGCUUGGGAGUGGCCACCGCCACAACAGCCACCCUGGCUUAGCUCCCAGAUCCUCCCGCCAAUGAUUCAGCAACAUCAGAGGGGUCAGGCCUGGUACAGGAGGGGGUUUCUAGUACUCUGAUACUACACUCCCGACAGUGUCUGUUCUGACUGAGAGGUGAAGACACAAGCUGGCUACUUUUAUCUCGGCGAUCACCCAGGGAAAGAAGGCUGACUAUCAAAGGAUGAAGCAGAGAAUGACUUCAUUGGUCAUCUAAAAACAAAGUUAGUGGGGAGAAGACAAUA